GGCCCAGAGGUCACCUUGUGGACUUCAACCCAGGUUUGACCACAAUGCUCUUGGUCCACAUUCACCGGCUCCUUUUUAUUUAUUUUUUUUUUUAGACAGAGUCUCACUUUCUUGCCCAGGCUGGAGUGCAGUGGCGGCUUGGCUCACUGCAGCCUCCACUUCCUGGGUUCAAGUGAUUCUCCUGCCUUAGCCUCCCAAAUAGCUGGCACUACAGGCAUGCACCACCACACUCAGCUAAUUUUUAUAUUUUUAGUAGAGAAGGGGUUUUAUUACAUUGGCCAGGCUGUCCUUUUUUGGGGGGCAGGGGUGGGGCAGGAACAGAGUCUUGCUCUGUUGCCCAGACUGGAGUGCAGUGGCACCAUCUUGGCUCACUGCAACCUUCACCUUCCAGGUUCAAGCAAUCCUCCUGCCUCAGCUCCCCCUAGUAGGUGGGAUUACAGGCUUGUGCCACCUCACCUGGCCAAUUUUUGUAUUUUUAGUAGAGACAGGGUUUCUCCAUGUUGGCCUGGCUGGUCUCGAACUCCUGACCUCAGGUGAUCCACGUGCUUUGGCCUCUCAAAGUGCUGGGGUUACAGGCGUGAGCCACCGCACCCAGGCUUUUUUUUUUUUUUUUUUUAAUAUUAUAGGAUCCACCAAAGCUUCAGGUGGACCUGCUCAGGAUAACUCACAUGACCCCUCGACGCUGUACACAGCUUUAAAUCUGAACCCAAAUACACUCACCCAUUAUGCGAGCCACACUGCCGGUUUGAUGCAAAAAUCCCUGCAGAUUGUCAUCAGUCGUGGUUCACGCUGUGGUCACCGCAGCUGUUCUUUGUCAUUGCAGAAUUGCAACCCUGCAUGUCACUCUGGGACAUAUGGCCCUGGGCCUAUAAACUGCCACCAGGCCACCGACGGCUGCUCCUCACCGCCUGACAGUGAUGAUUAAACAUGGUCUAUUUAGAGGAGCCGUAAAGAAGCCAGAUAUCCCUCGCAGAGGAGCAGAGGGGCGCACAAACAAUGGGACAGAUUUUCCUGUCUCUCGGGAGAGUCACUCUCUCAUCUUUCACCGAGAGAAAAAAGUCAUGCAAUGAGAAUCUGGCAGGAGAACCCAAGGGGGGUUUCGGGGCAGGAGAGGCAGCCAGGACAUGGAUGUCCCCCCAACGCUUCCGCUGCCCGCGCUCCUACUUCAAGUGAAGAAAUGGAAAGCACUUUUAUUUCUUCUGAACUCCCGGCCUGUCCCGCUAGUUUCGUUCAUUUGCUGCUCUUGAAGGUAGGAAUCCCCCAGCCCCAAGACAGCCCACCCAGCAUGCCAGGCCUGUCCACAGUCUCCAUCCAGUUUCUGUGCCCUGGUACCCAAAUUUCAGAGUACACCUGCAGAAAGCCCCUAACUUCACCCAAGUCCACCCAAGGGCUCCACCAUCCUUCAGUCAUCUCCGGCGGAUUCCCUGCUGUGUUCCCUGGGGAAUUCCCUGGACUCUCCAACCUGCCCAGCCCUGCUGUUCUCCCCGUAGAUGGCCUGGCCUCUUCCCGCCAUGACCGUCCUCAACUUCCCUGUUCAUCAUUAACAUCAAACACCCAGAGACACCACAGCCAUGUGCAGACACUGCCUUGUUUACCCCACUCCUUACCCCAACUUCUGAAUUUUUUUCCUUCUCUUUUUCUCUCUCUUGGGAGAGGGCCUUUGUUCCUGAUCCUUUUCUCUCCCAUCUCCUGGAGGAUUUUUCGCCAUUCGGCUCCACCAGUCUUGCACUUUUAUUUAUUUAUUUUUUUUUAAUAGAGACAAGGGCCUCACUCUGCUGCCCAGUCUGUUCUCAAACUCCUGGCCUCAAGCGAUCCUCCCACCUUGGCCUCCGCAAGUGUUGGGAUUACAGGCGUAAGCCACCAUGCCUGGUCCUGUUUGGCACCUUUUAUCCUUGUCUUCACUCCAGUCACUCCUUCUCUUCUGCUUGAUAACUUGAUUGCAUCACUUCUAAUCUAAAAAACUUGAGAGCAACACUUUCACCCACUCAAUUUAUUAGUUUAUUACUUUAUGUAGACAGAGUCUCGCUCUGUCACCCAGGCUGGAGUGCAGUGGUAUAAUCGCAACUCGCUGCAACCUCCCUCUCCCAGGUUCAAGCAAUUCUCAUGCCUCAGACUCCCGAGUAGCUGGGACUACAGGCAUGGGCCACCAUACCUGGCUAAUUUUUGUAUUUUUAGUAGAGACAGGGUUUUGCCAUGUUGGCCAGGCUGGUCUUGAACUCCUGACCUCAAGUGAUCCACCCACCUCAGCCUCUCAAAGUGCUGGGAUUACAGGCAUGAGCCACCGUGCCUGGCCUCAUCCAUCAGUUUAAUACCCCAGUCUCUUCUCUGACAAAGAUUUCCAGGAUAAAUCUCCAGGACUUCUUCCUGUCUUCCAACAUGUGUUUUGCCCCUAACUGUCUGAUGCCUACUACUACCAUCUCACUGAAAUUCUUUUCCCAAGUCAAAAUAUCCACCUCCUUCUAAAAGCUAGUGAUCUCUUUAACCCUGAUUUCUGC
RNAcentral lists this long non-coding RNA (2495 nucleotides) under Homo sapiens (human). RNAcentral's name for it is "non-protein coding lnc-KIN-7:1". The record is from RNAcentral. Lineage: Eukaryota; Metazoa; Chordata; Mammalia; Primates; Hominidae.